CAUUAAAGAACAAAAAUAUUUACUCUUGUUAUUCAUAUUCCAAUAAGAGGCCGUCUGGUCUGGAUUUUAGGAAAUAUAAUACAUAAUACACAGCUGCUGCUAGCAUUAUUUUGUAUACCUCAGCCCUGCUUCUUCUUCCUUUGCACCAUGUUUCAUUAGAUUUCUUAAAAAGGUUUGUAGCCAUGGUUGGGUUGCAAUGAGAUUAGUGCACUCUUGAUUUGGGCACUAUGACAUAAUUGCCCUCAUAUGGCACAGAAUCCGAACAUGCUAGAACUUGAACCGGGCGGUACUUUGGGGAUAGGGGUCAUAAACAUUGGAUAUUGUGCCGUUGAUGGGGAAAGAGGUAUUCAGAGGCUACUUGUGUAUGAAUUCAUGUCAAAUAAAAGUCUGGAAGAUCAUCUUUUCAGUACAGCCUUUCCAGUUCUUUCUUGGCAAAGAAGACUGCAAAUAGCGCUUGGAGCAGCUCAAGGAUUGGCUUAUUUGCAUGAAGAAUUGGAAGUUCAGGUAUCAUUGAUGAGCAGGUUCGUGAUACGCCUAUGACUUGAGAGAACUUGCUGCUUUCGAGACUAUUUGUAACCAAAACAUCGGAGUGUGAAGUUAAAGAAGACGAAGCUUGAGAUCUUCUUCUCAUCUCUUCAUUCAAAGCACCACUCUUAGCAUUUCCAUAGUUACACAUCACUGGGAGCAGAAUUAGUCAAAGAAACUCGAAGAGUUUCCCAAGAGUUUGGCAGAGUAUUAAGAAGCCAAAGUCCCUGUAUUUCUUCAUCAAACUUGACACUCAUUCCAGACAGCUGAUCAAGUACACCCUGAAAAUCAUUGAUAUGAUCAGAAAUAAGGCUGCCCUUUGUAUCUAAUAUUCAUCAAUUGUUUAAUUAGAUACAACUUAUUAUUGCCAGUCUUUGAAGCAUAAAGUGUCUUGAGCUUUUCCCACAAGCUUUUAGCAUUUGUCUCAUUCACAAUAUGAUUUCGAACAUUAUCUUCAACUCAUUGCCUAGUAUAGCCACAAACAUGUAAGUGCUCAAAUUCCCACUCUUCAUCUUUAAUAGUCUCGGGUUUCUUAGAAGCAACACAUGUAAAUGCAAUUUCUUGACAAAUAGAAGAUCUUUCAUCUUGCUUUUCCAAAUAUGGUAAUUACUGCCAUUUAAACAAACCAUCUUGCUCAUAUUUGCCUCCAUCAUUCAAAUAGACGAUCAACACAACCAAAUACAACCACAAGCUCUGAUACCACUUUGUUGGGGAAGAAACAAGCAAUAACCAAAUUGCACGACGAGGUAACAGCGAAAGAAAUACCUAAGUCGAAACUUCCCACACUAUUUGAACCAAGAGAAGACAAUAAACACUAGCACAAAUGGAAAUCCAGGCAACAGCUAUAACAACAAUAAAAUAGCAAAGAAAACAAAAAUAAAUCGAAUGGAAGAGACACCAAAUUUACGUGGUAAAACCCCUUCGAGGUGAAGAGGAAACAUCCACGGGACCUCCGGCCCACAAAAGCUCCACUAUAAUCAACAAGAGUUACAACAAUGUUCUCCAAAUAGCUACAACAACAAAUCCAAGCACGGAGCAACAAUACAUAAAAGAUAGCACCAAAACUAGUGAAGAAAGGAGAGAAAGGCCUAAAAUCUACAAAUAAAACUA
Lycium barbarum (goji berry) is the source of this 1635-nucleotide RNA transcript. It is a transcript of the gene named probable serine/threonine-protein kinase PBL19, with no coding region annotated. Lineage: Eukaryota; Viridiplantae; Streptophyta; Magnoliopsida; Solanales; Solanaceae. The transcript has 4 exons. The record is from RefSeq and is a predicted model, not a curated record.